RNAcentral lists this ribosomal RNA (295 nucleotides) under uncultured bacterium. RNAcentral's name for it is "partial 16S ribosomal RNA". It matches the Rfam family "Bacterial small subunit ribosomal RNA", at positions 505 to 796 of the family's 1533-position model. The record is from RNAcentral.
GUGCCAGCCGCCGCGGUAAUACGGAGGGUGCGAGCGUUGUCCGGAAUCAUUGGGCGUAAAGGGCGCGUAGGUGGCCCGGUCAGUCCGUGGUGAAAGCGCGGGGCUCAACCCUGCGUCGGCCAUGGAUACUGCCGCGGCUCGAGCACUGUAGAGGCAGGCGGAAUUCCGGGUGUAGCGGUGGAAUGCGUAGAGAUCCGGAAGAACACCGGUGGCGAAGGCGGCCUGCUGGGCAGUAUGGCUGACACUGAGGCGCGACAGCGUGGGGAGCAAACAGGAUUAGAUACCCUUGUAGUCC